This 475-nucleotide ribosomal RNA is filed under the name uncultured bacterium. RNAcentral describes it as "bacterial SSU rRNA". It matches the Rfam family "Bacterial small subunit ribosomal RNA", at positions 28 to 507 of the family's 1533-position model. The record is from RNAcentral.
GAUGAACGCUGGCGGCGUGCCUCAAACAUGCAAGUCGAGCGAGGCUAUGAGUUACCGCAAGGUAAGGCAUAGCCUAGCGGCGAACGGGUGAGUAACACGUGGGUAACCUACCUGGAAGACAGGGAUAACGAUUCGAAAGGGUCGCUAAUACCUGAUAAUAUCCGUCUGCCGGAUGGCGGAGGGAAGAAAGGGGAAACCCGCUUUCAGAUGGGCCCGCGUCCCAUCAGCUAGUUGGUAAGGUAAAGGCUUACCAAGGCGACGACGGGUAGCCGGUCUGAGAGGAUGUACGGCCACACUGGGACUGAGAUACGGCCCAGACUCCUACGGGAGGCAGCAGUUGGGAAUCUUAGGCAAUGGACGAAAGUCUGACCUAGCGACGCCGCGUGAGGGAAGAAGGCCUUCGGGUUGUAAACCUCUGUCAUGGGGGAAGAAGGAAGUGACGGUACCCCAAGAGGAAGCCCCUGCUAACUACGUG